GUCUGAUGUGAAAGCCCCCGGCUCAACCGGGGAGGGUCAUUGGAAACUGGGAAACUUGAGUGCAGAAGAGGAGAGUGGAAUUCCACGUGUAGCGGUGAAAUGCGUAGAGAUGUGGAGGAACACCAGUGGCGAAGGCGACUCUCUGGUCUGUAACUGACGCUGAGGAGCGAAAGCGUGGGGAGCGAACAGGAUUAGAUACCCUGGUAGUCCACGCCGUAAACGAUGAGUGCUAAGUGUUAGGGGGUUUCCGCCCCUUAGUGCUGCAGCUAACGCAUUAAGCACUCCGCCNGGGGAGUACGGUCGCAAGACUGAAACUCAAAGGAAUUGACGGGGGCCCGCACAAGCGGUGGAGCAUGUGGUUUAAUUCGAAGC
Molecule: ribosomal RNA, 372 nt
Filed under: Bacillus sp. (in: firmicutes)
Lineage: Bacteria; Bacillati; Bacillota; Bacilli; Caryophanales; Bacillaceae
Description: bacterial SSU rRNA
Rfam family: Bacterial small subunit ribosomal RNA
Source: RNAcentral